Molecule: non-coding RNA, 45 nt
Organism: Bos taurus (domestic cattle)
Lineage: Eukaryota; Metazoa; Chordata; Mammalia; Artiodactyla; Bovidae
Source: Rfam
UAAACGGCUCUUUUCAGAGCCACUUCCAUGAUCAGGGAAAAGAGU